CUGCCAGCCGCCGCGGUAAUACGGAGGGUGCGAGCGUUAAUCGGAAUUACUGGGCGUAAAGGGCGCGUAGGCGGUCGCGCAAGUCGGGUGUGAAAGCCCCGGGCUCAACCUGGGAAUUGCAUUCGAUACUGCGUAACUAGAGUCUGGUAGAGGGAAGCGGAAUUCCGCAUGUAGCGGUGGAAUGCGUAGAUAUGCGGAGGAACACCAGUGGCGAAGGCGGCUUCCUGGACCAAGACUGACGCUGAGGCGCGAAAGCGUAGGGAGCAAACAGGAUUAGAUACCUUGGUAGUCCACGCCCUAAACGAUGAGGACUAGACGUUGGGGGGAUAAAACCCUUUAGUGUCGCAGCUAACGCGUGAAGUCCUCCGCCUGGGGAGUACGGCCGCAAGGUUGAAACUCAAAGGAAUUGACGG
This 413-nucleotide ribosomal RNA is filed under the name uncultured bacterium. RNAcentral describes it as "bacterial SSU rRNA". It matches the Rfam family "Bacterial small subunit ribosomal RNA", at positions 505 to 916 of the family's 1533-position model. The record is from RNAcentral.